RNAcentral lists this transfer RNA (73 nucleotides) under Scuticaria tigrina (spotted snake moray). Its description in RNAcentral is "tRNA-Thr". It matches the Rfam family "tRNA". From Rfam's summary of the family: Transfer RNA (tRNA) molecules are approximately 80 nucleotides in length. Their secondary structure includes four short double-helical elements and three loops (D, anti-codon, and T loops). The record is from RNAcentral. Lineage: Eukaryota; Metazoa; Chordata; Actinopteri; Anguilliformes; Muraenidae.
GCCCCAGUAGCUUAACUUUUAAAGCACCGGCCUUGUAAACCGGAGAAUGGAGAUUAAAGUUCCCCCUGGCGCA